AACAGGUGGUAAAAUGAUAUUUUAUUCUUCGAUUAUUCAACGGUUAGGUACAAGCUGGGACAAAAGUUAUUUCCUAUUCGAUUUCCAAUCGUUCUCGCACCUUUUUUCUGUUCAGAACAUUCUUUUCAGAAUAUUUUCGGUGCAAACAUGAAAACACUGCGAUCAUUUCGGAAAACAUUUCAUUAAUUGUUUAAUUCUUUCAGACAAAAUUUCGACGAGAUCGUUCCAUUCCAUGUCGUUGGAGCAAUUUUAGAAUGCAGAUUUUAUGCACUCGUGACGACGAGUAGGCGAAAUUUAAAACAAUAGUCAGUGAUUUAAUAUGGAUACUUUUCAGUAACCAAGCGAAUAUUGUUAUUAUUAUAAAGGAGUAAUUUCAGUAUUGCGAGCACCGUUUAAACAUCAAGAGAGUAAUUAUUGCUCAUCCGGUGAACUAUUCGCAAUUUUUCACGAAGACAAACAGCAACCAGUACAAUGUAAUUAUAUAUCGCUGGAAAAAAUAGGCCCAACGGAGUUUACCAACCCCCUUUCCGCGAGGUUAUUACGACCCCGGCGAGGCUCGAAAAGAAGAAGGAUAGAAAUUUGCUAAAAGUGUCUCGGCCAAAUGACGAGACUAAAAGGCUUCUCAGUCGUAAUUGCCAGCAGUUGGUGUCCCGCGAAGCCUAUAAUUUAUUACGGAAGCUCGUGAAGUUUUCCUCCGCGUCCGUGCCCCUGGCCCCCGCCCCCCUCGCCCGCCGCCUCUUCUUAUUACUAGCAAAUUUAUUUAUGGCUCGAUUAUCGCGGGGCGAACACAGUGAGAAACACGCGGCGUCGAUUCCGUGGUCCCAUGAGGCGCGGGCCCCGGCAGAAAAAAAUCCGGUACCAGGUCGGGCCGGGAACACGCUGGAACACGCUGUAGAACGCGAGCGGCAUGGAAGACUGUAGUUAGCGACUAUUAAUAUCAUCGAUCGGGAUCGAUAGUUGCCUUCGAGGCGUCAUAAUGAUACGGUGGGAUCGGGACCGGGGCCUCAUCCCGAUGCUCUUCCGAUAUGCCACGUACACACGUUGGUUACAUGACGUGCACGAGUGGCGCCACUAACAAUCCCCCAAGAUUCUCCCCGGGGAACAAACCAACGAUAAACUUAUUCCAUAAUGUUUAAUUGUUAUUCCUCGGGUUGCUCCGCCAGUUUCGGGACGCAUCGAUUCCGGGUGACUGCGCGUGCAUCGCUGCCAAUUAACGCGGUGCCUGUCCGACAACAAUGCACUUCGGGUAACCGACGGGGGCUUCGAUGGUGGAGUUCACUUACCAGACCCCAUCAACUGCUCUUACCACCACCUACGGUUCUCAUAAUACGAGCCAACGUUCGUAAACAACUGCGCUAGGUCAAACAGUGCCGAAACAGAACAUUCGGUUGCUUAUGAAAAGUCAGCCUAUUUGUGUGUGUGUUAGUGAUCGUUGAACGUAGAGAGGACGCUGAAACCGUAGUUCCGAUGGCAGCAUCGAGGAGGAAAUAUUUUCACCGAAGGAUGUUGCGAUGAUUCGAGAAAUUGAGGAAUACGCAGCUGUUCGUUAGCAAUAGAAUAUACGUGGUGUAUGAAAAUGGAUUAAAAUGCACCCUAAUGCGCGCGGAUCGAGAGGAGAAAGAGAGGAAAGAAUUCAGGGCCUCUUUUUUGAACACGAAGAAGGUUCUCUCUACGGUCCUGGCAGAUUAGCCGCGGUAUAAUUUUUGUCCAGACGAUACAAAAUAAUCUUUGAACGCGUUUUUUGAUCGAAAUUAUGUUUUUUGAACUGAUUGCCAUGAUAUCUCAAGAUAUACUUGACUGAUUUUAUUCACAUUUGGCGUGUACCGUCAGCACAUGUGCUCGAAUACAUAUGUAAAGUUAAAAUUAUUAAAAUGGACAAUUCGGGGGGAGGAAAUACGAUUAUAGUUGCCUUAUAGUAUACCGAUUGUUAACUAUAAAAAUAAGACGUAAAUUAAUAAACUACUAAAUAAGUAUCAACAAUAA
Megalopta genalis is the source of this 1983-nucleotide non-coding RNA. Lineage: Eukaryota; Metazoa; Arthropoda; Insecta; Hymenoptera; Halictidae. The record is from RefSeq and is a predicted model, not a curated record.